RNAcentral lists this ribosomal RNA (247 nucleotides) under uncultured bacterium. RNAcentral describes it as "partial 16S ribosomal RNA". It matches the Rfam family "Bacterial small subunit ribosomal RNA", at positions 793 to 1055 of the family's 1533-position model. The record is from RNAcentral.
GUCCACGCCGUAACGAUGGAUACUAGCUGUUCGGAGCAAUCUGAGUGGCUAAGCGAAGUGAUAAGUAUCCCACCUGGGAGUACGUUCGCAAGAAUGAACUCAAGGAAUUGACGGGCCCGCACAAGCGGUGGAGCAUGUGGUUUAAUUCGAUGAUACGCGAGGAACCUUACCAAGGCUUAAAUGUAGAUUGACCGGUUUGGAACAGAUCUUUCGCAAGACAAUUUACAAGGUGCUGCAUGGUUGUCGU